RNAcentral lists this ribosomal RNA (554 nucleotides) under Alternaria alternata. RNAcentral's name for it is "eukaryotic LSU rRNA". The stretch from base 177 to 330 matches the Rfam family "5.8S ribosomal RNA". Lineage: Eukaryota; Fungi; Ascomycota; Dothideomycetes; Pleosporales; Pleosporaceae. The record is from RNAcentral.
AGGGAUCAUUACACAAAUAUGAAGGCGGGCUGGAACCUCUCGGGGUUACAGCCUUGCUGAAUUAUUCACCCUUGUCUUUUGCGUACUUCUUGUUUCCUUGGUGGGUUCGCCCACCACUAGGACAAACAUAAACCUUUUGUAAUUGCAAUCAGCGUCAGUAACAAAUUAAUAAUUACAACUUUCAACAACGGAUCUCUUGGUUCUGGCAUCGAUGAAGAACGCAGCGAAAUGCGAUAAGUAGUGUGAAUUGCAGAAUUCAGUGAAUCAUCGAAUCUUUGAACGCACAUUGCGCCCUUUGGUAUUCCAAAGGGCAUGCCUGUUCGAGCGUCAUUUGUACCCUCAAGCUUUGCUUGGUGUUGGGCGUCUUGUCUCUAGCUUUGCUGGAGACUCGCCUUAAAGUAAUUGGCAGCCGGCCUACUGGUUUCGGAGCGCAGCACAAGUCGCACUCUCUAUCAGCAAAGGUCUAGCAUCCAUUAAGCCUUUUUUUCAACUUUUGACCUCGGAUCACGUAGGGAUACCCGCUGAACUUAAGCAUAUCAAUAAGCGGAGGAAUC